CCUACGGGGGGCAGCAGUGGGGAAUAUUGGACAAUGGGCGAAAGCCUGAUCCAGCCAUGCCGCGUGUGUGAAGAAGGCCUUCGGGUUGUAAAGCACUUUCAGUGGGGAAGAAAGCCUUGGGGCUAAUACCCUCGAGGAAGGACAUCACCCACAGAAGAAGCACCGGCUAACUCCGUCCCAGCAGCCGCGGUAAUACGGAGGGUGCGAGCGUUAAUCGGAAUUACUGGGCGUAAAGCGCGCGUAGGCGGUCUGAUAAGCCGGUUGUGAAAGCCCCGGGCUCAACCUGGGAACGGCAUCCGGAACUGUCAGGCUAGAGUGCAGGAGAGGAAGGUAGAAUUCCCGGUGUAGCGGUGAAAUGCGUAGAGAUCGGGAGGAAUACCAGUGGCGAAGGCGGCCUUCUGGACUGACACUGACGCUGAGGUGCGAAAGCGUGGGUAGCAAACAGGAUUAGAUACCCUAGUAGUC
RNAcentral lists this ribosomal RNA (465 nucleotides) under Vreelandella stevensii. RNAcentral's name for it is "partial 16S ribosomal RNA". It matches the Rfam family "Bacterial small subunit ribosomal RNA", at positions 338 to 795 of the family's 1533-position model. Lineage: Bacteria; Pseudomonadati; Pseudomonadota; Gammaproteobacteria; Oceanospirillales; Halomonadaceae. The record is from RNAcentral.